AAUAUCUCUUAAAGACAACGUACACAGUUUAAGAAAUAUAACAUUUCAUUCUAAAACUUGUAAUAUUUGCCCAUAACAGUAUGGUAUGCCAUGAUGGGGUUAUUUCACAUUCCUGGGCUACCAUAUGGUCUCAAAAGGUAACACAGACCCAGCAAACCAAUCUGGCAAACUGAAAUGGGCAAGCCCUAUAUUGAGCCUGUACCUUUUCAAAACACCAUAAAACCUGUACAUGGGGGGGUAUUGUUAUACUUGGGAGACUUUGCGAAACACAAAUAUGAGUGUUUAAAACAGUAAAACCUAUCACAAUGAUGAAAUCACCAGUAAAAGUGCAGUUUUUGUGUAAAAAAAAAUGCAAAAAACAAAUAUGAACACUAACUUUGGCAAGCGUUUGUGGCUACUACAAAAGACUAGACAUAACCCAUUUUGAAUACCGUGGAUUGUCUACUUUUACAAAUGGUAUGCCAUGAUGGGGUUAAUUUUCAUUCCUUGGUUGCUAUACGGUCUCAAAGGCAACAUAGGCCCAGCAAGCCAAUCUGGCAAAUUUCAAUGUGCCAACAUGGAAAAGGGGAAAGCCCUACAUUUGACCCCUGUAAGUUUGCAAAAACCCAUAGAACCUGUACAUUGGGGGCACUGUUGUACUCGGGAGAUGUUGCUGAAGUUGGAAAACUGGAAUGUGCAAAGGUGUUCUUUGUCAGUAACACAUAACAGGAACUGAGAAUCCAUGCCUAAAUUACAAUGUGAGAGAAAAAU
Pelobates cultripes (western spadefoot toad) is the source of this 750-nucleotide non-coding RNA. Lineage: Eukaryota; Metazoa; Chordata; Amphibia; Anura; Pelobatidae. The record is from the annotation of a GenBank genome assembly.